AGAGUUUGAUCAUGGCUCAGGAUGAACGCUAGCUACAGGCUUAACACAUGCAAGUCGAGGGGAAACGACAUCGAAAGCUUGCUUUUGAUGGGCGUCGACCGGCGCACGGGUGAGUAACGCGUAUCCAACCUGCCCACCACUUGGGGAUAACCUUGCGAAAGUAAGACUAAUACCCAAUGAUAUCCCUAGAAGACAUCUGAAAGAGAUUAAAGAUUUAUCGGUGAUGGAUGGGGAUGCGUCUGAUUAGCUUGUUGGCGGGGUAACGGCCACCAAGGCUACGAUCAGUAGGGGUUCUGAGAGGAACGGUCCCCCANAUUGGAACUGAGACACGGUCCAAACUCCGUACGGGAGGCA
Molecule: ribosomal RNA, 354 nt
Filed under: uncultured bacterium
Lineage: Bacteria
Description: bacterial SSU rRNA
Rfam family: Bacterial small subunit ribosomal RNA
Source: RNAcentral